This is a long non-coding RNA of Pectinophora gossypiella (pink bollworm), 939 nucleotides long. RefSeq lists it as uncharacterized. NCBI's taxonomy places the organism in Eukaryota, Metazoa, Arthropoda, Insecta, Lepidoptera, Gelechiidae. The transcript has 2 exons. The record is from RefSeq and is a predicted model, not a curated record.
GUUAUGGAAAGUGGGGACGUCGCGAGAGCGCCGGAGACUCCACUGCCGUAACAAUAAUGUGGGCAAAUUAAAAGCCACGAUUUAUCGGCGACAUCAAGAGCCGAUGUCUCGAUUUAAACAAAUAACUUAACCGAGAUGCAACAUCACUGAAAUCCCAUCGCCGAAGGUCCAGUGGGUGGGUUUAGGUUUCAUCCGAGCGAUGCCCAACUAUCCCGGAUGAACCUGUAAGUUAUUUUCUUUGUUUUACACUCGUGAGUUGCCUUGCCACGCUGUCAGCUGAACCACAUGCUAAUCAUUGCCAUUCCUUGUUGCAGAUGGGGUUUUUUGUUUUUUCCUUUAAGUUUUAACGUUUUAAAGUUUUAACGUUUUUGCAAGUUUUAAUCUAAGAAGAAGUUUAUGAUUGGAUCAGACUAUUUCAACAAAUUUUGUGAAUGAAGAUUGCUACUGUUUUCUUCUGCGUUUGCAAGUUAUUUCAAGCUUCAUUUCGGCGGAGCUUGCCUUGGUUGUUUGCACGUCGAAGCUUUCCUUUGUGCGGCGCGCAUGUGGAUGUGCCGCGCCCCUCCUUUUGUCAACACACCGGAUAAGGCCUGGUGAAGGUCUGCGAGGUUGACCGGUGGACGUGCAGCCCGCCAGCUGCGUAACAGUUGGCCCGCUGCGCCGCCAUCGUCCAGCACGCCCUGGCCUGAGCCGGCCUCAACUCAUCACCUGUACGGUAUUCCGGAACGCCUCAGGUAGGCCUGAUAGUCGGAGGUCCUCGAGUAAGUGAGGAUCCUACAGGUGUACGGACAGUGUUUUUAAACAUAGUGAUAUCCCAUGGUUGUUACGGAGUGACAAUUAACCUGACGGACCAAAGCGCGACCUGUCUCCCUCCAUAGGGUUUUUACCUACCUAUGGAUAAUAAAAUCUGUAUAUUUUAAAAUAUACAUUGUACAAAUUCAA